This 1223-nucleotide long non-coding RNA is filed under the name Piliocolobus tephrosceles (Ugandan red Colobus). Its description in RNAcentral is "lncRNA (ENSPTEG00000005091.1)". The record is from RNAcentral. Lineage: Eukaryota; Metazoa; Chordata; Mammalia; Primates; Cercopithecidae.
AGCCUAUAUAUAUAUAUAUAUAUAUAUUAAUUAAAAUUUUUAUAUUACGUUGUAUUCUCAAAAUGUGCAUUUAUAUAUAAAUAUUAUUUAAUUUUUUUAUUUUUUUUUUUUAUUUAUUUGUUUGUUUGUUCGUUUGUUUGUUUAUUUAUUUAUUUUUUUUUUUUCCAAUUGACAAAAAAAAGAGAAAAAUAGAAAAAGAAAAAAAGACACAAAGAUUAUAAAAUAUUUUUAUGCAUAAAAAUAAAACAUUAUAUUGUAGUUUUGCUUUUCUUUCAUUCAUUCUUUCUUUUUUUUUUUUUUUUCUUUUUCCUUUUUUUUUUAAAUAUAAAAAAAUUGCAUACACGUGGUAUAAAGACGUAUUAUACUUCUUCAGUAUAUUUUACUUACCUACAACAAAAAAAAAAAAAAAAAAAAAAUAGGCACAAUUAAAAUUAUUUUUGUUUUUCUAGAUGUUAAAAUGUCAAAAGACAAAAACAAUCUUAAAGUAGAAUCAUUAAGAGUAAAAUCGUAUAAGCAACAAACGGACCCACCAGAAAAAUGUAUCAAUCUUAAAAAAACAAUAAAAGACUCAGAAAAGGGCGCCAAUACAUGCACUAAAGAACAAAAUGAAUAUUCUAACCUUAGUGAAAAAAAAACGCAAACAAAAGGCAAGGGUAUAAAAAUUGAAAAAAGCAGAAUAGGCCUUAUAAAAAAUCGUAACACAACUGUAGAAAAAAAAAAAGAAACAAUCAAAUCGAAGUCGCCAUAUAUAACAAAUGAUACUAAAAAUAGUAAAGACGGUAAAAACAAAUAUAACAGCAAAAAUAAGGAAAACAAAAGUGUUGUAACUGACAUAAAUAAAGGAUAUACAAACAAUAUAAAUAAUAAAACAAACAAACAUAAAUCCAUUAAAUGCGAUAAUAAUAAUAAUGAUAAUAAUAAUGGUCAUAGUGAACAAAAACAAUCACAGUUAAAAAAAAUAAAUAGCAAUGAUGAAUUCCUUAUUAACCUUUUAAAAAAAAAAGAUAUACAUACUCAAGGAGUGAAAUAUGAAGAAGCCAAAAUAACUGAAAAGAAAAAAAAAAAUCCUCAUCAAGUAGUCAAUCAAUGACAGAUAGCUCAAAAAGUGAUGAUAUCGAUACGGUAGAUAUUUUAAAUGAGUAUAAAAAAAAAAAAAAAAAAAAAUUAGAACAAGAAAAAAAAAGGUUAAUAAAAGAAAGAAAAAAAAAACUAAUAAAAAAAUG